UGGGGAAUAUUGCACAAUGGCGAAAGCCUGAUGCAGCGACGCCGCGUGAGGGAUGACGGCCUUCGGGUUGUAAACCUCUUUCAGCAGGGAAGAAGCGAAAGUGACGGUACCUGCAGAAGAAGCGCCGGCUAACUACGUGCCAGCAGCCGCGGUAAUACGUAGGGCGCAAGCGUUGUCCGGAAUUAUUGGGCGUAAAGAGCUCGUAGGCGGUUAGUCGCGUCUGCUGUGAAAACUCGAGGCUCAACCUCGGGCUUGCAGUGGGUACGGGCUGACUAGAGUGCGGUAGGGGUGACUGGAAUUCCUGGUGCAGCGGUGGAAUGCGCAGAUAUCAGGAGGAACACCGAUGGGCGAAGGCGAGGUCACUGGGCCGCAACUGACGCUGAGGAGCGAAAGCAUGGGGAGCGAACAGGAUUAGAUACCCUGGUAGUCCAUGCCGUAAAACGUUGGGCACUAGGUGUGGGGUCCAUUUCCCACGGAUUCCGUGCCGCAGCAAACGCAUUAAGUGCCCCGCCUGGGGAGUACGGCCGCAAGCUAAAACUCAAAUGAAUUG
RNAcentral lists this ribosomal RNA (550 nucleotides) under uncultured bacterium. RNAcentral describes it as "partial 16S ribosomal RNA". It matches the Rfam family "Bacterial small subunit ribosomal RNA", at positions 355 to 912 of the family's 1533-position model. The record is from RNAcentral.